Zea mays is the source of this 153-nucleotide long non-coding RNA. RefSeq lists it as uncharacterized. NCBI's taxonomy places the organism in Eukaryota, Viridiplantae, Streptophyta, Magnoliopsida, Poales, Poaceae. The transcript has 2 exons. The record is from RefSeq and is a predicted model, not a curated record.
UUUUUCCCCAGGCGCUGCUGAUUAUUCCAGGUCGACGCCGGAAAGCUCAUGUUUCAUCUGGCUCAGCCACAGAGCCAUGAAUAUUCGACAAUCACUGUUGCAAUUGAAUGAGUCGUCAUCAGACGAUGAUGACGAAAUUAGUUUCGCCGAGUA